GAUGUUGCCGUGUGACAAACGGCUCGUCUGAAAUGCCUGAGUGUACCCUGCUUUUGCGGCGUAUUCGGUGUGAUAAAUCUUUACCGGAGUUGACUUUUCAAGUCGCGCUUGUGGCUGUGGGCUCUAUGCUUCCAACCGUCCGACAGGACAAUCUUUGACAAUUUGACCUCAAAUCGGGUGGGACUACCCGCUGAACUUAA
RNAcentral lists this unclassified non-coding RNA (200 nucleotides) under soil metagenome. Its description in RNAcentral is "partial contains internal transcribed spacer 2 and large subunit ribosomal RNA". The record is from RNAcentral.